RNAcentral lists this long non-coding RNA (215 nucleotides) under Elaeis guineensis (African oil palm). RNAcentral's name for it is "long non-coding RNA (EGUI_LNC067296)". The record is from RNAcentral. Lineage: Eukaryota; Viridiplantae; Streptophyta; Magnoliopsida; Arecales; Arecaceae.
UGAGUUGCUUGUAAGUCACUAUGAUAAUAUCAAGUCUAAAAGAUACUUAUACCCAUGUGCUUCACGAGUAGCUCUUGAUAGCAGAAUGCUCAGCAGGUGAGUCACUUGUUCAGUAAAAAUAUAUUUCUAUAUCUCACCUGUAUGCCAUACCAGUGUCAUCACACUCCUUGAUUAAGAGGACAACCAACCCAUAUGGCACACAACGACCUCCACUC